AGAGUGAACGCUGGCGGUAGGCCUAACACAUGCAAGUCGAACGGCAGCACAGGAGAGCUUGCUCUCUGGGUGGCGAGUGGCGGACGGGUGAGGAAUACAUCGGAAUCUACCUUUUCGUGGGGGAUAACGUAGGGAAACUUACGCUAAUACCGCAUAAGACCUUCGGGUGAAAGCCGGGGACCUUCGGGCCUGGCGCGGAUAGAUGAGCCGAUGUCGGAUUAGCUUGUUGGCGGGGUAAAAAGCCCACCAAGGCGACGAUCCGUAGCUGGUCUGAGAGGAUGAUCAGCCACACUGGAACUGAGACACGGUCCAGACUCCUACGGGAGGCAGCAGUGGGGAAUAUUGGACAAAUGGGCGCAAGUCUGAUCCAGCCAUACCGUGUGGGUGAAGAAGGCCUUCGGUUGUAAAGCCUUUGUGGAAGAAUCUGCCGUAAUAACCAGUAGGAUGACGGUACCAAAGAAUAAGACACCGACUAACCUUACGUGCCAGACAGCCGC
This 497-nucleotide ribosomal RNA is filed under the name uncultured soil bacterium. RNAcentral describes it as "bacterial SSU rRNA". It matches the Rfam family "Bacterial small subunit ribosomal RNA", at positions 26 to 518 of the family's 1533-position model. The record is from RNAcentral.